Long non-coding RNA from Chrysemys picta bellii (western painted turtle), 2239 nucleotides. The record is from Ensembl. NCBI's taxonomy places the organism in Eukaryota, Metazoa, Chordata, Testudines, Emydidae.
GUGGAACAGUGAACAUGAGCCAUUCUGGGAAAACACUAGUUUCACUUUCAUUCUUAUGGUCCGUAAUCGUUCACAUAUCUGAAUUUACUCACUCAGACUUCAGACUUCACUUCACUUCACUUCAGACUUUGAGCUGGGGACAAUCUCAUCAGAGGUGAAAAUGACAAUUGGCAGCAUCUUCAUUGGAAUAUGGAAAAAACAUUUUACUCUUAUAUCAAUGUCGUUAUGCUCACUCAUUUUGGUAGUGCUUGAAAAGAUAAUGGAAUCUGAGUUUAAAUGCCCAGAAAACCUGACGUGGAGAGUUUGUUACAGCCUGGUCUAUUUCAUUAUACCAGCUCUGACUUUGUUUAUAUUAGGCAUAAUUUUCCAGCCAGGGUGUCUAUGCCAUUGUUAUAGAGCAAACGAUUUCUGCGACUUUGACAAAAAAUGCUGUACAGACAAGUGCAAGUGUGACUGUGGCUGCUGUUGCAUUAUUUUAAAGGCUGUUUUCCCUGCUCUGUUGUGGAUAGUGAUCCUUCUUCUGGAUGGAAGAUAUGCUGACUGCUUCCGGGAGAACAUCACAGGAGAAAACCCACGUCAAUCAAUUACUGCUUAUCAGAUUUGCCAGGUCACGGGUCUCGUUGGCAUAUUGGCUCUUGUCGGUAUUGGUUCAAUAUGCAUGUGCUGCUGCAAGAAGGGCGACAGAAAAAAGAUAACAGUGGAUGAAGCUGAAAGCAGGAUUCUACUAGAGCAAAAAGCUCAUGAGUAUAUUUUAAAACAGAAGGAAGAGGCUAUCUGGCAAUUAUUUAAGAAACGCCUAAAUGAUGAAUACUUAGCUGACCCGGAAACAAUUUCGAUAUCUAUUGCCAAUGAAAAGAUAUCUGGUAUAAUAGAUAGAGUUUGUAACAUUUCAAGAGAAGGCUCAGCUGACCAAGAAGGAAUAGUCAACACUUCACCUCAGGAGACCUCCAAUCUGUUACCUCAAGGGACCGCCAAUCCUUUACAUCAAGGGACCUCCAAUCCAUCACCUCCAGAGAUAUCAGAAAUAUCAAGUUGUCCAAGGGUGUGAGUUUUUCUGUAUUUUAAUAUGACACCACAGAAAGACUGGUAACUGAUGCAUAUACCAGUAACAAUACCAAACCAUGACUACACAGCAACUGCAAUCUACUAAAUGCACAAAAACCAAAGUGGAAAAUAAGGAAGGACAUGCAUCCCCAGCAGUUCUGCUCCUCCAGCCUCCCCUCCAGUUCUUGGCUUCCUCUCCCAGGCUAGGAGGGCUGUAGUGGGCUCCCCUCCCCCAUUCCAGGCUGGGGAGGGUGGCUCCAGGGGCUCCUCACCCUCCUCUGCCAGGCUGGAGCUCCAGGGAGGGCAAAGUGGAGGAGCUAUCCUGUCCUGUUGUUCACAGGAAGGGAGGAGGAAAUGGCAGUGGAGCCACCUUGAACUGUUGGGCUCUUUAGUUCUCUCUUCCUCUUUCCCCUCCCAUGAGAAUGGUGUCUGGAUGCCGAGGCGGUGGGGAGGGAGAGAGAGCUCUGAGUGCAAAGUGCCAGAUCUGUAGCAGCACUACAGCUCUGCUGGAUGAGAUUUCCUGAGGUAUGUGUAAACAUGUGACACAGGGUUCAGAUGUGUAAGUCUUACAACUCAGGUGUGAGAACUGAAGUGUCAGAGAUCUCCAGUCCUUCAUUUUACAAGGUCUCCAGUUCUUCACUGUAAGAGAUCUCCAACCCUUCACCUUAAGGGUUCUCCAGUUCUCCACUUCAAGAGGUCUCAAUACCUUCAUCUCAAAGGAUCUCCAACCUUUCACCUCAAGAGGUCUCAAAACUUUCAUCUCAAGGAUUUCUGAUUUCUAAUAGUUGUGUAAUCUAUAAGGGAAAAGGUACAACACAACCUCAUAACCCGCUUCUCUCAAUUUCAGAACAGCAGAAAUGUAAAACAAAGAGAAAUUAAAAUUAAGGAUGAUUAAAACUCUGUCCAUAUCUAGUUAAACAAUGGCCAUAGGGUGACCACUCAUCAUUAAAAUAUCUUCCGAUGGCCAAGUAAGUUUUUGAAAUGUAGGUAGAAGUUUGAGGUAACCACAGUGAUUUGUGUUCAGGAAGAAAAUCCGAGAGAUUGCCAAUAAUCUGCUCAAGUUAAAUAGUUUAAAUACAAGGCUUACCUAGCAAACAUGACUCAGCUGUUUUUCACAUGCACUAGAUUUGCUUUAGCAUUUACUUUAAUAUUUUUAUGUGCAAGGCAUUUAAAAAUAAAGGCACUCUGAAACUCA